This is a long non-coding RNA of Setaria italica (foxtail millet), 1940 nucleotides long. RefSeq lists it as uncharacterized. The transcript has 2 exons. NCBI's taxonomy places the organism in Eukaryota, Viridiplantae, Streptophyta, Magnoliopsida, Poales, Poaceae. The record is from RefSeq and is a predicted model, not a curated record.
CAGCCCUCCGAUCGAAGGAACGCCCCUCCGCCUCCGAGGAAUCCGCACAACCUUUCGUUUCUUUGUUGCGAGCGAUUUCGCUUCCCCUCCGUGCGAUCACUUCCUGCAUCCGAAAAUCGUGCUUCUCUGCCGCUCCCAUCACCUCACCAAUCACGGAGGCACACCACUCAGAUAUACAUCCUCCUCAUCGCAAACCGCAGGCAUCAUCAGGCGUGGUGGCUGUCUUCAGUCUUCACCGUAGUGCGGCGCGCCGUCGAGUCCCACGCCGCCGGCCUCGAAUCCUCUCGAUUACCGCGCCGGGGUCGCUGUCCUGCUGAGUGCCAAAGCAUCAACGAGCGCGUACUUGAUCGAGUGCCAACUGCCGCAGCCACAGGUUGAACGGAUCCGGCGACGUCCAGCGCUGACCAAAAAUCGGAUGGAAGGGGAAGAAGAAUAGAAAUUCAGUUGCUAGAGAAAAUGAUUGGACUAUAAAAGAGGAAUCCAAAUGGGUAUAGUUGCGACUCCAUGAUGAUUCGGCAGUCAAGAAUUAGUUUCAGGUUUCUACUCUUCAGGUAUGGCAACUCGUUUUAGGUCGAUCUAUCUCACUUUGCUUCCAAGGAUGUGAAUUUAGAGAUUCAGAGUUUUUUUAUUUAAGAUGAGUUUAUUAGCAUGGUGUGGUUCUUGGGGUUCUAGAUGGAGGAUGAGUGUAUCAGUGAUUAUUUUGCAGCCUAGAAUGGCACCUCUCGGUGUUAACAGUAGUUACAGAGUGACAAACAAACUCAGUAUUGCUUAUUAGAUUGGUUGGAGCAUAGCUGGCAGAAUUAGUCCUUUAGUUUCCAGUGUAGUACCUUUGACAGGAUGCAGUUUCUCAUGAUAAUUUUCCUCCCUGCUAAUGCCUACUUUUGUUGCUGUGUUCGAAACAUAUUACAAGUUAGGGUAAUAAACAUUGUGGCUCCCUUUGAACUCAAUCUAGCCAGUUUGUAUGAUAUAGUCUAUUCUAAAUUUUGUUGUUUUUUCUUACAUAGUAUCUUUGCACUUGAAACCAGGGAGUUCUCACUGAAUUUUUAAACUUGAUAUUGAGAAGGAUUUUAUACUUGCUGACCUUGGCAUACUGCAUCUGGUGACCUGACAUUAGGACUAGCGGCUGCAUACUACAUCUGUGUUUAUUGUAGUUUAGUGCCAUCAUAUUGUUCUUCAUAAGCAAAAUCUUGUCUUUUUCUUCACUUCGGUGGCUGAAUGCACAUAUGCCUAACAGCAUGUGAUCGUGUCCUUUUUCAGGUGUUUUCCCAUCCUAAAAGAGACUUUAAAAUGCUUCCAUCUGUUACUAAUGGUUUUUAUACACUCCUUAGAUUUAAUUUUUGCAAAUGGAGUCUGCAACACGAUCUGGUGAACGCACUCUGUUCAAAGACCUAUCCAACUCCAUCACAAGUAAUAUUUAUCAGACAAUGUCUAGAUGUCCUGUUUAAUACAAGGUAUAUCAAGUUCUACUGCUUAAAUGGAAAAUAGUGGUAGAUGCAAAGCCAUAUUACUGCCCCUUCACAGUGAAAAGAAACUUGAACAAUAUACUGGAAAGCAGGCACUACAAAUUCUACUUUAUUUGAUUACGGUGCAAGCCCAGUUUGGGUUGGAUACUGACAUGCAGGUGGGAACUGUUGCGUCAAAAUGUGCAAGGUUCCUGAUUAAAGCACUAUUAAAAAAAUAAUAGGCGUGAGAAGGGCUUGGAGAUCUGGAGUAUGGACAAAAGAGGCACGACAACACAAAAUUGCUGAAGUUAAUUAGGUUACAUUGUUGUGCGGAAGUUUCCAUAUCUCAUCGAAAUAACUAUUAGGUCGAUAUAGUUUUUCCGCUCCUUUUAUUGCGUCAAUUUUUUGGCUCCCGUGGCACGGGUAAAUGGUUGUAGACACUAUUGAUUUGUUAAUAGUCUGUACCUCUUGCCCAUAGCAACACACAGGCAUUGAUUU